UGUUAUUCUUGUGUGUUUUACAACAUGUCCAGUUACAUGAUGUAGAACGAAACUUUGUGAGAAUUGAAAAGGCUAUGUACCAGUUAUAAAGCACCAAAUACUACCUAUACACCAAAAGAAGAGAUUACUUCAGUAAACUUUUUCAAAUCUUGAGUGUAGAAAAGGGAAGAAAUUGGAUGGAGAAAACAGCAAGAUGCACAAGAGCCUUUAGGACCUUGUGCCUUGUCAUAGGAAAUAUGAAAAAUUUAUCAUUAACAACUAGAAGUUAAAAAGGAAGAGAACUGCUAAUUUUAUAUUCAAUGAUAGCCAUUCAGAACUGAGAGUUGUUAUUGGACACAAGUCACGAAUAAUAUGGAUUGAAGGAUCCUUAACAUUUCAAGUGCCACUGUCCAUGUUUAAGGAAGACCAAAUUGACUUCUUGAUGGAGCUGUUGAUGGAAGUUUAUUGCAAGAAAAAUCCAGUGAAAACUAUCGACUACGUUCUGAAAGUCUUGCUUCCAAUGACAUUAAUCAAAGUUCACAUGGAAAUUACAGGAAAAAGCUAUGAAGAAAGUGAUAAGAUUAUGUAUGAUCAAAUGUUUGAUGUUCUGUCUGAGAACGAUACCCAAAAUUGAGAACUUACUGUGAGAUUUACAGUUAUGUCAUAGUUUCAAGAUAUUUCAACUGUCAAUUUUAGAAUUAUGUCAUUGUUUUAAGGUAUUCCAACUGUCAGUUUUAGUGAAAAAGGAUUUGUCACCUUUUUUUGUAGUUGCUUGGAAUUGUAUUACUCAUAUAAAGAGAAUCACUUUAAUUAUACCAGUUAUUUAGUAUUAUGUUUUACUUUUAAGAUACAAUGUAGCAAAUUUAAAUGCCAUAAAUCUUCUGUUUCAGUCAUGACAUUAAGAUAAUGCCAGUACACAAGUGAUUAAAAAUAUAUAGUAAAAAUAUUUCAAUUUAAUUUCAUAUGUUCUGUAAAA
Limulus polyphemus (Atlantic horseshoe crab) is the source of this 955-nucleotide long non-coding RNA. RefSeq lists it as uncharacterized. The transcript is spliced from 3 exons. The record is from RefSeq and is a predicted model, not a curated record. Lineage: Eukaryota; Metazoa; Arthropoda; Merostomata; Xiphosura; Limulidae.